GAUCAUGGCUCAGGGAUGAACGCUAGCUACAGGCUAACACAUGCAAGUCGAGGGGUAGCAGGGUAGCAAUACCGCUGACGACCGGCGCACGGGUGAGUAACACGUAUCCAACCUUCCCAUAACUCAGGGAUAGCCUUUCGAAAGAAAGAUUAAUACCUGAUAGUACUUUUCAAGGCAUCUUGAGAAGUUAAAGAUUUAUGGUUAUGGAUGGGGAUGCGUUCCAUUAGAUAGUUGGUGAGGUAACGGCUCACCAAGUCUUCGAUGGAUAGGGGUUCUGAGAGGAAGGUCCCCCACAUUGGUACUGAGACACGGACCAAACUCCUACGGGAGGCAGCAGUGAGGAAUAUUGGUCAAUGGGCGAGAGCCUGAACCAGCCAAGUAGCGUGAAGGAUGAAGGUCCUAUGGAUUGUAAACUUCUUUUAUAGUAGAAUAAAGUGAUCCACGUGUGGAUUUUUGUAUGUAUACUAUGAAUAAGGAUCGGCUAACUCCGUGCCAGCAGCAGC
RNAcentral lists this ribosomal RNA (503 nucleotides) under uncultured bacterium. RNAcentral's name for it is "bacterial SSU rRNA". It matches the Rfam family "Bacterial small subunit ribosomal RNA", at positions 15 to 518 of the family's 1533-position model. The record is from RNAcentral.